GAUAAGAUGGCUGAGUUAUAUAAGCGUUAGAUUGUAAAUCUAAAAACAAGUUUAAACUUUCUUAUUA
Molecule: non-coding RNA, 67 nt
Organism: Scylla paramamosain (green mud crab)
Lineage: Eukaryota; Metazoa; Arthropoda; Malacostraca; Decapoda; Portunidae
Source: the annotation of a RefSeq genome assembly